AUCUGGGCGGCGAAAUUCAGAAUGACUGGCCGGCCUUGUGCAUGUUCGGUCGUUUGAUAUUUUCGUCGCCGUGUCAGACGUCGCGAUCUGUUUGUUGUCGGUCCUUGCUCGGAGGAAUUGCGAUCGAGUUUGUUGUGGACGCGUUCCGGCGUGUCAUACGGCAAAGACGUAAAUCUCUGGCCGAUAAUAGACAGUAAGCAAUGGUAGCCGACGCUGUGUUAUGUGCACGGUGUUGGUGCCGAUCGGCGACGAUUUCUUCGGGCCUCUUUCCGACCCGUCUUGAAACACGGACCAAGGAGUCUAACAUACGCGCGAGUCGCGGGGUAUCGAGCGUGCUACGGUGCGCUCGGUCUUUAUGAAACCCGUAUUUGAAGGCGUAAUGAAAGUAAACAGGGAAGAUGGUGUUCCGAGUAUACGUACCGUGAAAUUUCGCGGCCGGACACCCGCAUUCCCGGGGCGUCUCAAUGGUUCAUCGUAGAUGCGGAUUGUCGUCUCUCGGGGCGAUAGUCGGUUUGCGAUGGUCCGA
RNAcentral lists this ribosomal RNA (526 nucleotides) under Lepidosaphes smilacis. Its description in RNAcentral is "eukaryotic LSU rRNA". Lineage: Eukaryota; Metazoa; Arthropoda; Insecta; Hemiptera; Diaspididae. The record is from RNAcentral.